This 253-nucleotide ribosomal RNA is filed under the name uncultured bacterium. Its description in RNAcentral is "partial 16S ribosomal RNA". It matches the Rfam family "Bacterial small subunit ribosomal RNA", at positions 524 to 776 of the family's 1533-position model. The record is from RNAcentral.
UACAGAGGGGGCAAGCGUUGUUCGGAAUUACUGGGCGUAAAGGGCGCGUAGGCGGCCCGCUAAGUCGAACGUGAAAUCCCCGAGCUCAACUCGGGAACUGCGUCCGAUACUGGUGGGCUUGAAUCCGGGAGAGGGAUGCGGAAUUCCAGGUGUAGCGGUGAAAUGCGUAGAUAUCUGGAGGAACACCGGUGGCGAAGGCGGCAUCCUGGACCGGCAUUGACGCUGAGGCGCGAAAGCGUGGGGAGCAAACAGG